UACGAAGGGUGCAAGCGUUAAUCGGAAUUACUGGGCGUAAAGCGCGCGUAGGUGGUUCAGUAAGUUGGAUGUGAAAUCCCCGGGCUCAACCUGGGAACUGCAUCCAAAACUGCUGAGCUAGAGUACGGUAGAGGGUAGUGGAAUUUCCUGUGUAGCGGUGAGAUGCGUAGAUAUAGGAAGGAACACCAGUGGCGAAGGCGACUACCUGGACUGGUACUGACACUGAGGUGCGAAAGCGUGGGGAGCAAACAGG
This 253-nucleotide ribosomal RNA is filed under the name uncultured bacterium. RNAcentral's name for it is "partial 16S ribosomal RNA". It matches the Rfam family "Bacterial small subunit ribosomal RNA", at positions 524 to 776 of the family's 1533-position model. The record is from RNAcentral.